GCCCGGGUGGUGGAAUGGCAGACACAAGGGACUUAAAAUCCCUAGUCCGGUAACGGGCGUGCGGGUUCGAGUCCCGCCCUGGGCA
This 85-nucleotide transfer RNA is filed under the name Alkalidesulfovibrio alkalitolerans DSM 16529. RNAcentral's name for it is "Desulfovibrio alkalitolerans DSM 16529 tRNA". It matches the Rfam family "tRNA". Rfam says of the family: Transfer RNA (tRNA) molecules are approximately 80 nucleotides in length. Their secondary structure includes four short double-helical elements and three loops (D, anti-codon, and T loops). The record is from Rfam by way of RNAcentral. Lineage: Bacteria; Pseudomonadati; Thermodesulfobacteriota; Desulfovibrionia; Desulfovibrionales; Desulfovibrionaceae.